This is a small nuclear RNA of Myotis lucifugus (little brown bat), 104 nucleotides long. The record is from Ensembl. Lineage: Eukaryota; Metazoa; Chordata; Mammalia; Chiroptera; Vespertilionidae.
GAGCUCACUCCAGCAGCACAUAUACUAAGCUUGGAACAAUACAGAGAUUGGCAUGGCCCCUGCACAAGGAGGACACGCAAAUUCAUGAAGCGUUCCAUACUUAC